RNAcentral lists this ribosomal RNA (372 nucleotides) under uncultured bacterium. RNAcentral describes it as "partial 16S ribosomal RNA". It matches the Rfam family "Bacterial small subunit ribosomal RNA", at positions 1009 to 1379 of the family's 1533-position model. The record is from RNAcentral.
GCGACCUUCUCUUCRGAGCAAUGUGACARGUGGUGCAWCGUUGUCGUCAGCUCGUGCGUUGAGAUGUUGGGUUAAKUCCCGCAACGAGCGCAACCCUUAUCUUUAGUASCCWKCAUUUUMAKAUGGGCACUCUAGAGAGACUGCCAGGGAUAACCUGGAGGAAGGUGGGGAUGACGUCAAAUCAUCAUGCCCCUUAUGACUUGGGCUACACACGUGCUACAAUGGCGUAAACAAAGAGAAGCAAGACUGUGAAGUGGAGCAAAUCUCAAAAAUAACGUCUCAGUUCGGAUUGUAGUCUGCAACUCSACUACAUGAAGCUGGAAUCGCUAGUAAUCGCGAAUCAGAAUGUCGCGGUGAAUACGUUCCCGGGUU